This 389-nucleotide ribosomal RNA is filed under the name uncultured bacterium. RNAcentral's name for it is "bacterial SSU rRNA". It matches the Rfam family "Bacterial small subunit ribosomal RNA", at positions 28 to 417 of the family's 1533-position model. The record is from RNAcentral.
GACGAACGCUGGCGGCGUGCUUAACACAUGCAAGUCGAGCGGUAAGGCCCUUUCGGGGGGUACACGAGCGGCGAACGGGUGAGUAACACGUGGGUGACCUGCCCUCAGCUCUGGGAUAAGCCUGGGAAACCGGGUCUAAUACUGGAUAUGACUCCAUGACGCAUGUUGUGGGGUGAAAGCCUUGUGCGGCUGAGGAUGGGCCCGCGGCCUAUCAGCUUGUUGGUGGGGUGANGGCCUACCAAGGCGACGACGGGUAGCCGGCCUGAGAGGGCGACCGGCCACACUGGGACUGAGACACGGCCCAGACUCCUACGGGAGGCAGCAGUGGGGAAUCUUGCGCAAUGGGCGAAAGCCUGACGACGGCGACGCCGCGUGAGGGAUGACGGCCU